This 2375-nucleotide long non-coding RNA is filed under the name Pelobates cultripes (western spadefoot toad). Lineage: Eukaryota; Metazoa; Chordata; Amphibia; Anura; Pelobatidae. The record is from RNAcentral.
CUCCUGGGUUGUGCAUUCGAAGGUCAUUAUUACGUGGAUAUGUGCCUCCCGAUGGGUUGUGCGAUAUCCUGUUUUUAUUUCGAAUGUUUCAGUUCCUUCAUGGAGUGGGUAGUGAGAGCGGAGUCCGGUUACGAUUCCUUGCUUCACUACCUAGACGACUUUUUAUGUGUGGGCCCUGCGCACUCCCCGAUAUGCGCGCAGCUUCUGCAAGCAGUGGCGGAUGUGGCCUGCGAGUUCGGGGUGCCGCUGGCACCAGACAAAACGAUUGGCCCUUCCACGUGCCUGUGCUUUCUCGGGAUCGAGAUUGAUUCCGUUAUUGGGGAAUGUCGGCUUCCUUUGGAUAAAUUGUCUAAUCUUCGGGAGGUGGUGCACGUGGCGAGCGCAUCCCUGUUGGGCAAGCUGAACUUUGCCUGUCGGAUUAUGCCCAUGGGCAGAGUGUUCAACCGGCGCCUGGCAGCCGCUACGGCUGGGAUAUUGAGGCCGUCCUACUUCGUCCGCUUGACCAAAGCGCUCAGGGAGGACUUGGCAGUAUGGGCGGUUUUUCUGGAUGGGUACAACGGCAGGUCCUACUGGCAGCAGCCUGAGGUGACGAACUCGGUGCUGCACCUGUUUACGGAUGCCGCGGGUUCAUCGGGUUUUGGGGCUAUUAUGGGUAGGCAAUGGUGUGCGGAACCUUGGCCCGAAUCGUGGUUCACCUCUGGCCUGACCAAGAACAUGGCAUUCUUGGAGCUCUUCCCCAUUGUGGUGGCUAUCCAUCUUUGGGGGCCAGAGAUCAAGAACAGGCGUGUCGUGUUCCACUGUGACAACCUGGGCGUUGUCCAGGCCAUUAAUAGGUUAACGGCCUCCUCCCCUCCAGUGGUCAGGCUCCUGCGGCGAUUGGUUUUACGAUGCCUGUCUUUUAACGUGACAUGCCGCGCUGUGCAUAUUCCUGGUGUGGAGAAUACCACGGCUGACGCUCUUUCUCGUUUCCAAUGGCAGGUGUUUCGUUUGGCCGCGCCGGAAGCAGAUAUGGAAGGCCUCCCCUGUCCCAGAGAGCUAUGGUCCCUUGGCCUGAGCGAAUAAGGGAAUGGAUUCGGUCUUCGGUGUCAGAGGCAACUUAGGUUCGGUACGGUAAGGCAUGGGGAGACUGGGUCGCUUUAGAACAGGACCUAGGUGGGUUCGCCUCGACUGCUGAAAGGGUUCAGGGGAUGUUACGGUUGCUCUGGUUCUGGGAAGCUAGCGGGUGUUCUCCGGCUACGGUUUCGGGAAAGCUAUCGGGUCUUAGUUUCUGGUUCAACUUGACUCAGGUGCCGGAUGUUACUAAGGACUGCAUGGUUCGGCUUGCAAUGCGCGGCUGGCGUAGGGGCCCUCACCUGCGGGAUUCUCGGAGGCCGGUUUCAGGUGCACUGCUAUUAGGUAUCGCGUCGGUCCUACCCAGGGUCUGCUUUUCCGAUCUGGAAGCGCGUUUGUUUCGGGUGGCUUUUACUUUCGCUUUCUUUGGCGCUCUACGGAUCGGUGAGCUUGUGAGCCCUAGCAAACAGAUCCCGGGGGGCUUGUUGUUCAACGAUGUGUCUGUCGUGAAUGAUACGGUGCGUUUUUUGGUGCGGAGGUCCAAAACCGACAUCUUCGGCAAGGGGCAUGGGUUACCCUCCGCGCCAUUCCCGGUUCGGCCGUCUGCCCUGUCGCAUCCUUUCAGUCUUACUGUCUUGGUCGUCCGGGUGUUGCGGGCCCGUUAUUAAUUCAUGGGACGGUUCCUUCCUUUCUCGCUUCCAAUUUCUCCGGGUCUUUCGGUUGGCACUCGAACAACUGGGUAUUUCGAGCGCAGACUUUGGGGCGCAUUCUUUCCGGAUUGGGGCCGCAACUGAAGCCUCCCGUUUAGGUUUUUCGGACCAGGCCAUUCAAAGGACUGGUAGAUGGGAAUCGGGGAGGUUUUGGUCCUAUGUACGGCCCACACGUCUGAUCGGUAUCCCCCUUGUGUUUUCUCCACAGGGCCCGGCCGACGGAUCUGGCUGAUCGGUCAUUCUUACAUCUACUGGGCCCAACUGCGGGCAGGGGUUCGCCCGGGUGGGACACGGCUUGGAAUACCUCGGGAGCUGGCGGAGGUCCGGUGGUUCGGGUUCCGGGGCAUGAGAUGGGGUCAGCUAUUGCCGGAGGUUGUGCAGUUGUCUACUUUAUUACGGGCCCCGGAUGUCUUAGUGGUGCAUCUGGGGGGAAACGAUCUGGGGUCGCUGCCUGCGUGGGGCCUGGGGGAACUGAUCAGGCGAGAUUUGGCGCGCUUGCGAGUGCUUUUUCCACAACUUUGCCUAGUUUGGUCGGGUAUCGUUUCCAGGAAUUAUUGGAAGUGCGCACGUGAUCAGGGUGCUAUUGAGCGCUGUAGGGUAAAAAUUAAUAAGUGG